GAGCUACUGACUUAAACAAGUCAAGGUAAGAUUUGGUCAGCCAUGGUUCAGAAGUCAAAAGGUCAGGACAAUAAAAGGUCAAUAAAAGGUAGAAUGAACAAGCUCAUCCUUGCUGAAGCUACCUGAGGAUUUACACAAGGACCAGAGCUCAUGAAAGGAACCAGAUGGACAGCUUUUGGAAAUGAAUCCUUCCUUUGAUUAAAAGACAAGAAAUAAAGUUUCUACAUGCUCCAUCUCUGAAAAUCUCCCUCCUGAAACUUCAGCAGCGUUGAAACAGUUGGAAAUUGUGAAUGCCAAGAUUGUGCUGUGUGUAUGUAUAUCGAAGCGAAUAAUUAUUAGUGCCAACAACAAUCUAAGUUUUCUAGUAAAUAUAACACUUAUUGAAUUUUUCGACCUUUAAAGAAGAAAGCACUUUACUUCAUUAAACAACAUUCUAUAUAUCAUGAGUUCAAACAUUUUAAAAAUUAAGAGAGUACAUACUAACAUUUCAAUUGUAAUUCUUCCUUUUUUGAAACAUCUUACUCAUCAGAUUGAAGUUAUUUUUCAAUAAUUUUGGUAACUAGAUAACUCUUUUGACUAGAAAUAUGUACUUAUUGAUUUUUCUUCUUUUAUGAAAUAAAUAUUUAUUAAACUCUCCUUCUAUCUCUGCCCUACUAUAAGAUGGUGAUUCAGUGGUAAAUAGAAAGACACUAUUCGUACUCUGAAGGCAUUGUCAUUCUAGUAGAAAAGGCCAAAAGCCAAUAAUAGUGCAAGUGCAAAAUGCUAAAAUAUCAAAAUAAAAAGAUAAUUGACUCAGCUUUCGGGGUCAGAGAGUAUGAAAAAGGUAGACAUAG
Long non-coding RNA from Rhinolophus ferrumequinum (greater horseshoe bat), 833 nucleotides. RefSeq lists it as uncharacterized. NCBI's taxonomy places the organism in Eukaryota, Metazoa, Chordata, Mammalia, Chiroptera, Rhinolophidae. The transcript has 3 exons. The record is from RefSeq and is a predicted model, not a curated record.